CCACGUUGCAUCAACCGGGAUCUGAUG
RNAcentral lists this non-coding RNA (27 nucleotides) under Cricetulus griseus (Chinese hamster). The record is from RNAcentral. Lineage: Eukaryota; Metazoa; Chordata; Mammalia; Rodentia; Cricetidae.